AGGACGAACGCUGGCGGCGUGCUUAACACAUGCAAGUCGAACGGAAAGGCCCUUCGGGGUACUCGAGUGGCGAACGGGUGAGUAACACGUGGGUGAUCUGCCCUGCACUUUGGGAUAAGCCUGGGAAACUGGGUCUAAUACCGAAUAGGACUACGCGAUGCAUGUCGUGUGGUGGAAAGCUUUUGCGGUGUGGGAUGGGCCCGCGGCCUAUCAGCUUGUUGGUGGGGUGAUGGCCUACCAAGGCGACGACGGGUAGCCGGCCUGAGAGGGUGUCCGGCCACACUGGGACUGAGAUACGGCCCAGACUCCUACGGGAGGCAGCAGUGGGGAAUAUUGCACAAUGGGCGCAAGCCUGAUGCAGCGACGCCGCGUGAGGGAUGACGGCCUUCGGGUUGUAAACCGUCUUUCAGUAUCGACGAAGCGCAAGUGACGGUAGGUACAGAAGAAGCACCGGCCAACUACGCGCCAGCAGCCGCGGU
This 479-nucleotide ribosomal RNA is filed under the name uncultured bacterium. RNAcentral's name for it is "SSU rRNA". It matches the Rfam family "Bacterial small subunit ribosomal RNA", at positions 26 to 521 of the family's 1533-position model. The record is from RNAcentral.